UUAACUCAAAUUUGUAUGGAGUUGGGAAGUUUGCGUACGUUUGCCGCUAGGGGCGCAGUUCCAACUCCAUGUACAAAUUUGAGUUA
RNAcentral lists this microRNA precursor (86 nucleotides) under Bombyx mori (domestic silkworm). RNAcentral's name for it is "mir-2807 microRNA precursor family". It matches the Rfam family "mir-2807 microRNA precursor family". Lineage: Eukaryota; Metazoa; Arthropoda; Insecta; Lepidoptera; Bombycidae. The record is from Rfam by way of RNAcentral.